This 407-nucleotide ribosomal RNA is filed under the name uncultured beta proteobacterium. RNAcentral describes it as "bacterial SSU rRNA". It matches the Rfam family "Bacterial small subunit ribosomal RNA", at positions 508 to 915 of the family's 1533-position model. The record is from RNAcentral. Lineage: Bacteria; Pseudomonadati; Pseudomonadota; Betaproteobacteria.
UCAGCAGCCGCGGUAAUACGUAGGGUGCGAGCGUUAAUCGGAAUUACUGGGCGUAAAGCGUGCGCAGGCGGUUUGUUAAGACAGUUGUGAAAUCCCCGGGCUCAACCUGGGAACUGCAAUUGUGACUGGCAGGCUAGAGUUUGGCAGAGGGGGGUGGAAUUCCUGGUGUAGCAGUGAAAUGCGUAGAUAUCAGGAGGAACACCGAUGGCGAAGGCAGCCCCCUGGGCCAUGACUGACGCUCAUGCACGAAAGCGUGGGGAGCAAACAGGAUUAGAUACCCUGGUAGUCCACGCCCUAAACGAUGUCUACUAGUUGUUGGGUCUUCAUUGACUUAAUAACGAAGCUAACGCGUGAAGUAAACCGCCUGGGGAGUACGGCCGCAAGGUUAAAACUCAAAGGAAUUGACG